This 457-nucleotide ribosomal RNA is filed under the name uncultured bacterium. RNAcentral describes it as "bacterial SSU rRNA". It matches the Rfam family "Bacterial small subunit ribosomal RNA", at positions 923 to 1379 of the family's 1533-position model. The record is from RNAcentral.
GCACAGCGGUGGAGCAUGUGGUUUAAUUCGAUGCAACGCGAAGAACCUUACCUGGUCUUGACAUGUCCGGAACCUUGCAGAGAUGCGAGGGUGCCUUCGGGAAUCGGAACACAGGUGCUGCAUGGCUGUCGUCAGCUCGUGUCGUGAGAUGUUGGGUUAAGUCCCGCAACGAGCGCAACCCUUGUCCUUAGUUGCCAGCACGUAAUGGUGGGAACUCUAAGGAGACUGCCGGGGUCAACUCGGAGGAAGGUGGGGAUGACGUCAAGUCAUCAUGCCCCUUAUGUCCAGGGCUUCACACAUGCUACAAUGGCCGGUACAAAGGGCUGCGAUGCCGUGAGGCUUAGCGAAUCCUUUAAAGCCGGUCUCAGUUCGGAUCGGGGUCUGCAACUCGACCCCGUGAAGUCGGAGUCGCUAGUAAUCGCAGAUCAGCAACGCUGCGGUGAAUACGUUCCCGGGC